AUUGAACGCUGGCGGAAUGCUUUACACAUGCAAGUCGAACGGCAGCACGGACUUCGGUCUGGUGGCGAGUGGCGAACGGGUGAGUAAUACAUCGGAACGUGCCCAGUCGUGGGGGAUAACGUAGCGAAAGCUACGCUAAUACCGCAUACGAUCUACGGAUGAAAGCGGGGGAUCGCAAGACCUCGCGCGAUUGGAGCGGCCGAUGGCAGAUUAGGUAGUUGGUAGGGUAAAGGCCUACCAAGCCGACGAUCUGUAGCUGGUCUGAGAGGAUGAUCAGCCACACUGGGACUGAGACACGGCCCAGACUCCUACGGGAGGCAGCAGUGGGGAAUUUUGGACAAUGGGCGCAAGCCUGAUCCAGCCAUUCCGCGUGCAGGAUGAAGGCCUUCGGGUUGUAAACUGCUUUUGGCAGGAAAGAAAUCGCACGGAUUAAUACUCUGUGUGGAUGACGGUACCUGCAGAAUAAGCACCGGCUAACUACGUGCCAGCAGCCGCGGUAA
Molecule: ribosomal RNA, 500 nt
Filed under: uncultured bacterium
Lineage: Bacteria
Description: partial 16S ribosomal RNA
Rfam family: Bacterial small subunit ribosomal RNA
Source: RNAcentral